UACGUAGGUGGCAAGCGUUGUCCGGAUUUAUUGGGUUUAAAGGGUGCGUAGGCGGCCUUGUAAGUCAGUGCUGAAAUAUCCCGGCUUAACCGGGAGGGUGGCAUUGAUACUGCAGGGCUUGAGUACAGAUGAGGUAGGCGGAAUUGACGGUGUAGCGGUGAAAUGCAUAGAUAUCGUCAAGAACACCUAUAGCGAAGGCAGCUUACUAAGCUGUAACUGACGCUGAGGCACGAAAGUGUGGGGAUCAAACAGG
RNAcentral lists this ribosomal RNA (253 nucleotides) under uncultured Microscillaceae bacterium. RNAcentral describes it as "partial 16S ribosomal RNA". It matches the Rfam family "Bacterial small subunit ribosomal RNA", at positions 524 to 776 of the family's 1533-position model. The record is from RNAcentral. Lineage: Bacteria; Pseudomonadati; Bacteroidota; Cytophagia; Cytophagales; Microscillaceae.